GAUGAACGCUGGCGGCGUGCCUAAUACAUGCAAGUCGAGCGAACAGACGAGGCGCUUGCUCCUCUGACGUUAGCGGAGGACGGGUGUGUAACACGUGGAUAACCUACCUAUCAGACUGGGAUAACUUCGGGAAACCGGAGCUAAUACCGUAUAAUCUAUUGCAGCGCAUGGUUCAAUAGUGAAAGACGGUUUUGCUGUCACUUAUCGCUGGAUACGCGCCGCAUUAGCUAGUUGGUCAGGUAACGGCUUACCAAGGGUACGAUGCGUAGGCGACCUGCGAGGGUGAUCGGCGACAUGGGAGGGGAGACACGGACCAUGCUCCUACGGUAGGCAGCAGUAGGGAAUCUGCCGCAAUAGGCGAAAGCCUGACGGAGCGACGGCGCGUGAGUGAUAAAGGCCUUCGGAGCGUAAAGCUCUGUUAUUAGGGAAGAACAAAUGUGUAAGUAACUGUACACUUCUUGACGGUACCUAAUCAGAAAGCCACGGCUAACUACGUG
Molecule: ribosomal RNA, 497 nt
Filed under: uncultured bacterium
Lineage: Bacteria
Description: partial 16S ribosomal RNA
Rfam family: Bacterial small subunit ribosomal RNA
Source: RNAcentral